Non-coding RNA from Theobroma cacao (cacao), 658 nucleotides. The record is from RefSeq and is a predicted model, not a curated record. Lineage: Eukaryota; Viridiplantae; Streptophyta; Magnoliopsida; Malvales; Malvaceae.
AAAGAGAAAGUGUUUGAAUUCAAGGAUUUGAUCAAGCAAAGGCUCAGGAAAUUUCAUAGUUAGUUGACUUUAACAAGGACCUUCAUUUGGACUUAAAUCGGCAAAAGCUCUAUGGUGGCCAUGGGUGUGAGAAAAUUAUGAAUUUUGCUGGGUGAAAUCCAAGCUAAAACCAAGUGGAAGUACAAAAGUAAAGAUAGUAGAUUGUGGUGGCGUGUUGGAGGAAAUAACGAGCGACCGGCAAAUAGAAAUAGCUAGAUACGCCUCCGAACUAAUAGCGAUGUAAUAUCUCGCUAUCGUAAGUAAGUUGGGAUCUAGAUUGAAGUGUCCAUUUGUAUUUGCCAUUUGGUAGGUACCAUGGCAUCUUGCAGCGGCACCUAUGCCCAGAGUCACUCCGCUGAUAGUCAAGGUCUCUUGUCAAUGUAUAUAUUUACUGAAAUGUAAAUUAUAAGAUUGUUAUGCACUCUGUAUGUUGAUUGAUUAUCCCUGUCAGUUAGGGUUGAAGAAUGAUAACCCUAUUUUGGGGAUGUUAUAUAUAUAUACUUGGUUCUCACGGUCUAAUUUCGAAAGAACUUUCAUUGGAAAUUUUGAGUAAUAGAUCAUAAAGAAAGAGAGGCUUGCUUGGGCCUGGUGGGCUAUGCCUAUUGGGCCUUUGCGCCGG